Molecule: ribosomal RNA, 651 nt
Filed under: uncultured Bacilli bacterium
Lineage: Bacteria; Bacillati; Bacillota; Bacilli
Description: bacterial SSU rRNA
Rfam family: Bacterial small subunit ribosomal RNA
Source: RNAcentral
UCUGGUGCUUGCACUAGAAAAACUUAGCGGCGAACGGGUGAGUAACACGUAAAGAACCUGCCUUAUAGACUGGGACAACUAUUGGAAACGAUAGCUAAUACCGGAUAACAGCAUUAACUGCAUGGUUGAUGUUUGAAAGUUGGUUUUGCUAACACUAUGAGAUGGCUUUGCGGUGCAUUAGCUAGUUGGUGGGGUAAAGGCCUACCAAGGCGACGAUGCAUAGCCGACCUGAGAGGGUGAUCGGCCACACUGGGACUGAGACACGGCCCAGACUCCUACGGGAGGCAGCAGUAGGGAAUCUUCCGCAAUGGGCGAAAGCCUGACGGAGCAACGCCGCGUGAGUGAAGAAGGAUUUCGGUUCGUAAAGCUCUGUUGUUAGGGAAGAAUGAUUGUAUAGUAACUAUAUACAGUAGAGACGGUACCUAACCAGAAAGCCACGGCUAACUACGUGCCAGCAGCCGCGGUAGUACGUAGGUGGCAAGCGUUGUCCGGAAUUAUUGGGCGUAAAGCGCGCGCAGGUGGUUUAAUAAGUCUGAUGUGAAAGCCCACGGCUCAACCGUGGAGGGUCAUUGGAAACUGUUAAACUUGAGUGCAGGAGAGAAAAGUGGAAUUCCUAGUGUAGCGGUGAAAUGCGUAGAGAUUAGGAGGAAC